This 725-nucleotide ribosomal RNA is filed under the name uncultured archaeon. Its description in RNAcentral is "bacterial SSU rRNA". It matches the Rfam family "Archaeal small subunit ribosomal RNA", at positions 52 to 754 of the family's 1478-position model. The record is from RNAcentral.
UGCGAGUUGAGCGUCUUGAACAACGGCGAGGCGCGGCGUACGGCUCAGUAACACGUGGCUAACCUACCCUUAGGACAGAGAUAAACCCGGGAAACUGGGGUUAAUAUCUGAUUGGCGAGGAAAUCUGGAAUGAUUCUUCACCUAAAGGAUUUUGAUACCAUGUUUUUCAAAGUCGCCUAAGGAUGGGGCCGCGGUUGAUCAGGUUGUUGGUGAGGUAAUGGCCCACCAAGCCUUUGACCGAUACGGGCCGUGAGAGCGGGAGCCCGGAGAUGGGCACUGAGAUAAGGGCCCAGACCCUAUGGGGUGCAGCAGUCGCGAAACCUCCGCAAUGCGCGAAAGCGUGACGGGGUUACCCCGAGUGCCGUCCGCUGAGGAUGGCUUUUCUUCAGUGUAAUGAGCUGGAGGAAUAAGGGGAGGGCAAGACUGGUGUCAGCCGCCGCGGUAAUACCAGCUCCUCGAGUGGUAGGGAUAAUUAUUGGGCUUAAAGCGUCCGUAGCCGGCUUGAUAAGUCCCCCGUUAAAUCCAGCGACCUAAUCGUUGGCCUGCGGGGGGUACUGUCAAGCUAGGGGGCGGAAGAGGCCGAUGGUAUUUUCGGGGUAGGGGUGAAAUCCUAUAAUCCCGAGAGGACCACCAGUGGCGAAGGCGAUCGGCUGGUACGUGCUCGACGAUGAUGGACGAAAGCUGGGGGAGCGAACCGGAUUAGAUACCCGGGUAGUCCCAGCUGU